UUGAUCUCAAAUCAGGUAGGACUACCCGCUGAACUUAAGCAUAUCAAUAAGCGGAGGAAAAGAAACUAACAAGGAUUCCCCUAGUAACUGCGAGUGAAGCGGGAAAAGCUCAAAUUUAAAAUCUGGCAGCCUUUGGU
Molecule: ribosomal RNA, 137 nt
Filed under: Phlebiopsis dregeana
Lineage: Eukaryota; Fungi; Basidiomycota; Agaricomycetes; Polyporales; Phanerochaetaceae
Description: Australohydnum dregeanum partial 28S ribosomal RNA
Rfam family: Eukaryotic large subunit ribosomal RNA
Source: RNAcentral